UACGUAGGGUCCGAGCGUUGUCCGGAAUUACUGGGCGUAAAGAGCUCGUAGGUGGUUUGUCGCGUUGUUCGUGAAAACUCACAGCUCAACUGUGGGCGUGCGGGCGAUACGGGCAGACUUGAGUACUGCAGGGGAGACUGGAAUUCCUGGUGUAGCGGUGGAAUGCGCAGAUAUCAGGAGGAACACCGGUGGCGAAGGCGGGUCUCUGGGCAGUAACUGACGCUGAGGAGCGAAAGCGUGGGGGGCGAACAGG
This 253-nucleotide ribosomal RNA is filed under the name uncultured bacterium. RNAcentral's name for it is "partial 16S ribosomal RNA". It matches the Rfam family "Bacterial small subunit ribosomal RNA", at positions 524 to 776 of the family's 1533-position model. The record is from RNAcentral.